GACGAACGCUGGCGGCGUGCUUAACACAUGCAGGUCGAACGGAAAGGCCCUGCUUGCAGGGUACUCGAGUGGCGAACGGGUGAGUAACACGUGGGUGAUCUGCCCUGCACUUCGGGAUAAGCCUGGGAAACUGGGUCUAAUACCGGAUAGGAGCCAUUUUUAGUGUGAUGGUUGGAAAGUUUUUCGGUGUAGGAUGAGCUCGCGGCCUAUCAGCUUGUUGGUGGGGUAAUGGCCUACCAAGGCGGCGACGGGUAGCCGGCCUGAGAGGGUGGACGGCCACAUUGGGACUGAGAUACGGCCCAGACUCCUACGGGAGGCAGCAGUGGGGAAUAUUGCACAAUGGGCGCAAGCCUGAUGCAGCGACGCCGC
This 369-nucleotide ribosomal RNA is filed under the name uncultured bacterium. Its description in RNAcentral is "bacterial SSU rRNA". It matches the Rfam family "Bacterial small subunit ribosomal RNA", at positions 28 to 400 of the family's 1533-position model. The record is from RNAcentral.